This 306-nucleotide ribosomal RNA is filed under the name Triticum aestivum (bread wheat). Its description in RNAcentral is "partial small subunit ribosomal RNA". The record is from RNAcentral. Lineage: Eukaryota; Viridiplantae; Streptophyta; Magnoliopsida; Poales; Poaceae.
AUGGAGGUGAAAAUCCAUGAUGAAGAACAUAAUUGUCACAGCACAAGAAAAAGUGAUAACCUGAAGGCUGCUUCAAAGUCUUGGAUAUGUUCCAAGGUAAUUGAUUUGGUAAAAGAAGAUCCUAGUGUGACAUCAAUGGAGCUACGAAGGAGGUUGCAUCACAAGUACAAGAUUUGGAUCCGUUAUGACAAACUUUACACCAAAGCGACGCAAGGGCAAGUCGAAGGCAAAGGUGAUCCCAGCUGCAGCGGACAGCCCCGCAAGGAAGAAAAGGCAAGCAAACAGCCCGGCUAUGGCCACUCGUAG